This 1289-nucleotide long non-coding RNA is filed under the name Homo sapiens (human). RNAcentral's name for it is "HSALNT0121423". The record is from RNAcentral. Lineage: Eukaryota; Metazoa; Chordata; Mammalia; Primates; Hominidae.
ACAAAAGUUAUGAGAACUCAAUGAGUUUAAAGAUGGCGGAAGCUCAGUGCUUUAUUCCAUGCAAAAUUGCAUGGCUGAACACCUUGAAGCCUUAGAAAUAGACUGGCCAAUGGAUUGGCCUUGAUAGGACUCUACUCCUCUUUUCAAAGGAGCCCAACUAACAGCUGCCUUCUGGUUUUUACUUGGAACUCAACUAAAAACCUUACAAACGUGUCAGAACUUGGAGAUGAGCAGAUCGCACAGCUUUUCUACACAGUGCUGUAGCUACCGUCUUCCUGGUGUGAGACUUUCCUAGGACUUCAGUAAAUGGAAUCGGACAUUUGGUAACAGCACAGAGAAGACAAUGACCAAUAUUCUCUUGGAAGACUUAGAAAAUGGAGAUCCAGGUGGUUUUGUUCAUCUUUGAGCCCUGCAGGUGCAUCCCUGUUUGAUGAUGAUCCUGUCCUGAAUCACCAGGAGGAGACCGCCUGGAUGUUCACGGGCAGCGUUCUUCAAGGCACACAGUAGGGGGUUGAUAAGUUGUUCAUAAAGCCAAAUAAACCAUGCGCGAAUAAGCUUAAUAUUCCAUCCAAAUAUUUUGUGACUCAUUGGUAAUACCUUUUAAGGAUCACUUAACAAGCAGCAGCAAAUAGUGACUUUUUCCACUUAAAAGAUAUUUGAGACAUAACCCUUACAUCUAUGCAAAUUGAGAGGAAGGCCAGGUAGGUACCCUGAAGCUCUUUCCAAAGAAAUCUAAAUUUUAUCUUUGUUUCCUAAAAUCCAGUUAAUUCCCAGUCCCCCCGAUCUCAGGUCAAACACUCAGGUUGUUUGAUUCUUGAGGGUUGGGUCAGAAUUGCAUGCUUAUUUCCCUCCCUGCUGCACUCUGAUGCCCUGUAAAACCAGUCCAGCCCAGGAGUGCCUUGUCCAUACGCACCUUGCCACAUGGCUGAUACCCUACACCCUCUCCCACCAGUAAAUAUUAAACUCUGUGUCAUUAUGCUCUGCUCUCCAAAACCCUACCAGUGAUCACAAAGUGCUGUCUGUGGCAUUUGGAGAUGCCACCAAACUUCCAAUUCUCCCCCAAGAUUCCAAGAUACGAACUUUCCUUGUUUUCUUACCUCUCUUGUUGUUCCUUCUCUGUUACUGUUCCUAAUUUUUUUUCCUCCUUCCUGUGGUUGCUGGAAGUGGGGUGGGGCAAUAGCGACCUGUCCUUCAAUUUGUGUUCCAGUUGUCCAAGGAAUGUUGCCUUUGGAGUGUCCAAUUAUUGCUUCCAAGUCCACAUGUUCAUUUGUUCAUUAAAAUAUAUCAAG